CUUUUCAGUUUCUGCUCUCAAUGUCUUCAGAAUUUUCCUCACAGAAUCAUCGGAUUGUAGCUUGCAGGAAGUUUGUAAAUUCCUCCUCCCCUUCCGUAUUUUCUCCUAAAGCUACCACUAACCGGGCCUUCUCCAGCCAUCUGGUGUUGCUGGCAGAUGGCACUUGGAACCUAACAGCUCCACUGGCUUUCGGGGAAGGAAAAACUCUCCCAUGGGAACCCAGAAACAAGCAACAGCAAGUCAAAGUCAAACAGAACUGACUCAGGAACUAUCUUUGUGAGUGCUACCAUGCUGUGUUGACUAGUUUCCUGGCUGAAGAGAAGGCUCAUUGGCUUAGAGUACCUAUUGUUCUUCUCGAGGACCUGAAUUAGACUCACAGCACCUACACAAGCAACUCCCAAGUGUCUGUAGCUCCAGUUCUGGAAGAUCUGAUGCUUACUUCUGGUUCCUAUGGGCACUACACACACACAUGGUACAUAGACAUACAUGCAGGAAUAACACCUAUCCAUGUACAAUGAAGAUUAAAG
Long non-coding RNA from Apodemus sylvaticus (European woodmouse), 527 nucleotides. RefSeq lists it as uncharacterized. Lineage: Eukaryota; Metazoa; Chordata; Mammalia; Rodentia; Muridae. The record is from RefSeq and is a predicted model, not a curated record. The transcript is spliced from 3 exons.